This 60-nucleotide transfer RNA is filed under the name Ophidascaris sp. CYZ-2020. RNAcentral describes it as "tRNA-Ile". The record is from RNAcentral. Lineage: Eukaryota; Metazoa; Nematoda; Chromadorea; Rhabditida; Anisakidae.
AUUAUUUUAGUAAAAGUUAUUAUGUUGCCUUGAUAAGGUAGAGUUCGUUCAGAGAUAAUA